GCCCGGGUGGCGGAACGGCAGACGCAGCGAGCUUAAACCUCGCGGCCCUAACAGGCAUACGGGUUCGAAUCCCGUCCCGGGCACCU
Molecule: transfer RNA, 86 nt
Filed under: Kribbella speibonae
Lineage: Bacteria; Bacillati; Actinomycetota; Actinomycetes; Propionibacteriales; Kribbellaceae
Description: Kribbella sp. YM55 tRNA-Leu
Rfam family: tRNA
About the family: Transfer RNA (tRNA) molecules are approximately 80 nucleotides in length. Their secondary structure includes four short double-helical elements and three loops (D, anti-codon, and T loops).
Source: RNAcentral